This is a long non-coding RNA of Sinocyclocheilus grahami, 427 nucleotides long. Lineage: Eukaryota; Metazoa; Chordata; Actinopteri; Cypriniformes; Cyprinidae. The record is from Ensembl.
CCAACUCCAUGGCCAAUGGGAGUCUCUGGGUGACGGUAAAUUUUCCUUGUGCUCCAUCCAUAAGCUGCACGUUUGAAGAUGAUGAUUAUGUGGAAGGGAAUGAGAUGGGAUGCUACUGUCCCCUAACUGAGUUUAAAAGUCUCUGGGCCACAGUCACGCUAUACAACGAACAGAACCUCUCAGACAGACAGGCGUACACCGCUGAAGUGAUGCUUGAAAACCCAUUCGAGGUGGAAUUUGGUUUUCUGACACCAGGGCAAGUGUACUGUGCUGUGGCCAACUUCACAGCUGAGGGUGUACUGACCUCUUCUCCCCCGAGCCUCCCGCAGUGUGUUUACAUACCAGCAAAGCUCGGCUUUACUUCGAGACCUGGAACUUCAGAAUGAGACUUUCAUUGACUCCAGUAAGGUUGCACCACACAACAAGA